This 652-nucleotide ribosomal RNA is filed under the name uncultured euryarchaeote. Its description in RNAcentral is "bacterial SSU rRNA". It matches the Rfam family "Archaeal small subunit ribosomal RNA", at positions 1 to 658 of the family's 1478-position model. Lineage: Archaea; Methanobacteriati; Methanobacteriota. The record is from RNAcentral.
UUCCGGUUGAUCCUGCCGGAGGCUACCGCUAUUGGAGUUCGAUUAAGCCAUGCGAGUCGCGAGAAAUUAGAUUCUCGGCGUACCGCUCAGUAACACGUGGGUAACCUGCCCUAUGCUGGAUAAUAACCUCGGGAAACUGAGAAUAAUGAUCCAUAGUUCACUACGCCUGGAACGGUGAGUGGAUGAAAGCUCCGGCGGCAUAGGAUGGGCCUGCGGCGUAUCAGGUUGUAGGGGGUGUAACGUACCCUCUAGCCCUCUACGCGUACGGGUGUUGGGAGACAUAGCCCGGAGAUGGAUUCUGAGACACGAAUCCAGACCCUACGGGGUGCAGCAGGCGCGAAAACUUGGCAAUGCGAGAAAUCGUGACCAGGGAACUCCAAGUGCAUCGGGUAAGACCGGUGCUUUUCUUGACUCUAAAUAGGUCUUGGAAUAAGGGGUGGGUAAGGACGGUGCCAGCCGCCGCGGUAAUACCGGCGCCUCAAGUGGUAGUCGCUUUUAUUGGGCCUAAAACGUCCGUAGCCGGUCUGAUACAUUCGUGGGUAAAUCAACCAGCUCAACUGGUUGAAUUCUGCGAGGACGGUCAGACUUGGGACCGGGAGAGGUGUGGGGUACGCUCAGGGUAGGGGUAAAAUCCUGUCAUCCUGAGCGGACC